This 253-nucleotide ribosomal RNA is filed under the name uncultured bacterium. RNAcentral's name for it is "partial 16S ribosomal RNA". It matches the Rfam family "Bacterial small subunit ribosomal RNA", at positions 524 to 776 of the family's 1533-position model. The record is from RNAcentral.
UACAGAGGUCCCGAGCGUUAGGCGGAAUCACUGGGCUUAAAGCGUGUGUAGGUGGAUCGUUAAGUACCUUGUGAAAUCCCACGGCUUAACCGUGGAACUGCUUGGUAUACUGGCGGUCUUGAGCCAGCUAGGGGCUACCGGAACAAAUGGUGGAGCGGUGAAAUGCGUAGAUAUCAUUUGGAACGCUAAUGGUGAAAACAGGUAGCUAGGGCUGUGCUGACACUGAGACACGAAAGCCAGGGGAGCAAACGGG